Non-coding RNA from Bos taurus (domestic cattle), 57 nucleotides. NCBI's taxonomy places the organism in Eukaryota, Metazoa, Chordata, Mammalia, Artiodactyla, Bovidae. The record is from Rfam.
UGGCUCAGAAGGUAAAGUGUCUGCCUGCAAUGCAGGAGACCUGGGUUCGAUUCCUGG